AGGUGCGAUCAUACCAGCACUGAUGCACCGGAUCCCAUCAGAACUCCGCAGUGAAGCGUGCUUGGGCGAGAGUAGUACCUGGAUGAGUGACCUCCUGGGAAGUCCUCGUGUUGCACCUC
Non-coding RNA from Lupinus angustifolius (narrow-leaved blue lupine), 119 nucleotides. The record is from Rfam. Lineage: Eukaryota; Viridiplantae; Streptophyta; Magnoliopsida; Fabales; Fabaceae.